AACGAACGCUGGCGGCAUGCCUAACACAUGCAAGUCGAACGAGACCUUCGGGUCUAGUGGCGCACGGGUGCUUAACGCGUGGGAACCUGCCCUUAGGUUCGGAAUAACUCCCCGAAAGGGGUGCUAAUACCGGAUAAUGUCUUCGGACCAAAGAUUUAUCGCCUUUGGAUGGGCCCGCGUUGGAUUAGCUAGUUGGUAGGGUAAAAGCCUACCAACGCGACGAUCCAUAGCUGGUCUGAGAGGAUGAUCAGCCACACUGGGACUGAGACACGGCCCAGACUCCUACGGGAGGCAGCAGUGGGGAAUAUUGGACGAUGGGCGAAAGCCUGAUCCAGCAAUGCCGCGUGAGUGAUGAAGGCCUUAGGGUUGUAAAGCUCUUUUACCCGGGAUGAUAAUGACAGUACCGGGAGAAUAAGCUCCGGCUAACUCCGUG
Molecule: ribosomal RNA, 433 nt
Filed under: uncultured bacterium
Lineage: Bacteria
Description: partial 16S ribosomal RNA
Rfam family: Bacterial small subunit ribosomal RNA
Source: RNAcentral